GGAGGCGUGCCCGAGCGGCCGAAGGGAGCGCACUGCUAAUGCGUUAACCGGGCAACCGGUUCCGGGGUUCAAAUCCCCGCGCCUCCG
RNAcentral lists this transfer RNA (87 nucleotides) under Actinomycetota bacterium. Its description in RNAcentral is "tRNA-Ser". It matches the Rfam family "tRNA". Rfam says of the family: Transfer RNA (tRNA) molecules are approximately 80 nucleotides in length. Their secondary structure includes four short double-helical elements and three loops (D, anti-codon, and T loops). RNAcentral also lists the same sequence under 1 other name. The record is from RNAcentral. Lineage: Bacteria; Bacillati; Actinomycetota.